ACAGAGGUCUACGGAACAUGUUAAAUAUAUAAAUAGUUCAGUUUGUAAAGAGUAGUUGUCUCAACAUCCUAAUGCAGUUGUGGCCCUCUCGCCUUGUGGUAUCCAAAUUUUCCUUGUAUUUUCUCUCCUAUAGAAUGAUAAAUACAAAUGCCAAACAUGACCAAAUGUGGUCCUUAGGGGGGGAAUAUAUUACUAGAGGUCCCAAGAAGCUAAUCAAAGAGGAGGAUGGAAGUAAAUAAGUUGAAAGCAUUUUUAGUGAAGUCCUUCACUUGGUUAUGGAGAUUUAGCAGAGGUAUGAUGUUACUACAUUUUUAGUGAAGUCCAGGUUUUCUCUACCUGUUUUUUAGUUGCUGCAUCAUAUAGUUGUUGUCUGGUCCUUUUUUCUGGAGGUUAUAUGAUGUUUUUUAUUUGUCUUCUUUACCUUUUUAUGUUCAUUUUGAUACUGCUUUGCUAGGCAUUUUUUUAAGAUGUGGGUCUUUCCGAAAUAACCUCUCUAUCUCCACGAGGUAGGGGUAAGGCUGCAUACAUCCUACCCUCCUGAGAUCCCACCUGUGGGAUUUCACUGGAUACGUUGUUGUUACUGUUGUUUUCAUUCAGGUAACGUCUUAGGAGUUCCAUUCUUGAUAAGAGAUGAUGAUAAAAGUAAAUGAUCCAACCUGAAUUUAUUAAGUCCGUAAUAAUAGGCUUUUCAGGUGAUUUAAAUGUGCGACAUUUUGUCUUCCAGUUUUUCUGUUCUGUCAUACCCUUGUACUAUGAUCAACUGUUCCAACAAUUAGAUGGCAACUCUCCCCGUCUUUGAUUUUGUUGCUAUGUUCCUUAAAGUUCUUAUCUGGUUAAAUAUAAUCUGCUUCCUAACCCGUCUCAACAAUGCUAUAAUUUUCAAUAACAUGAAUAAAGAGGAAUAGGGCAAGGUAAAGUUUCCUGCGAAAAGCGAUUGGAAGAACCAUAUUGUGUAGGUUCUUUGCAUUGAGGGGUGGGGUGUAUAUUUCCACACAAUAAAUCCUUUACUUGUAGGAAAAAGACAUACCUGCCAAUACGUAUGUGUGUUUUAGUGCAUGACUAUAAAUGGAGCCCUAUUAUUGUUAGGGGUCGUUUGGUACACCGGAUGGGAUAAGGAUAUCCCAUGGGGCUAUAAGGGUAUCCCAUGGGACUAUUUUAUCCCUCCCUCCCCGUGGGACAAUAUAGUCUCCGGAUUAAGUAAUACCUUAUAUCAAACUUGCGAUAAAGUUAAUCCCAAACUUUAUCCCGAGAUUAUUUUUCUGAUCCCUUCUACCUAGCGACCCCUUUGUGUUAUCAUUAUCAUUAAUUGUUGUAUGCUUAAUAUAUAGAGGUUUGAUUUAUUUUUAUGAAGAUGCCUUAUAUUUGUCAAUUUUCUCGUUGUCAUAAUUCUGUGGUUGCUUAUGUUUCCCCCUUUCCUUUGUUCUUUUUCCUGAUGUGUAAUAAGUAGCUUCAUCUUGGUUCUUGUGCCAUGGAAGAGUAAUUACUUACCCGAUCGAAAUAGGAAGAAUUUACUUGUUAGUUAAUCAUUUGAGAGUGAUAAAGCGUACUCUUGUGGUUUUGGUCUUAAAUAAAAAGAAAUAUGAAUUAUUAUAUAGAGAAAAGAAUGAUAUUUAGCAUAGGUGCAGAUUAUGUUAAAUAAUAUCAUUAUGACCUGAUUUUUUGAAGCAAUAUAGACACCUAAAUACCAUUUGUAGGAAGUUCUCGUGAUCUUGUUGUGGAACUUUGAUUUCCAUCUUUUCAGUCGCUGGAAGUGUGGAACUUCAGUUUGCAUCUUUUCUCAGUUUGUCAAGUAGUGAUCAAUAUGUCAUUAUGUAGUAUAUAUUGUUCAAGUUCUUGCCAAAAGACUCUUUCAUGCUAAAGUUAAGUUUUCUGGAUAUGUGGACUGUUUCUUCUUCGGUUGCAAUAGGCUAUGUGGAUGAUCUUAGUGUUAAUUGGUUUCUUUGUUAUGGCAGAAUCGUCUGUGUUAGGGGAUGCUAAGGCUUCGGCUAUCAAGGCAGCUCUGGUAAAGGAAGAGAGAGGUAAAUAUGAAAUGAGGCAAUCUCUGAAAGAUGAAAAGGUUGAAGCAAGUAUAUCGAAGGAAAAUACUUCAAAACCUUUAGCACUGGAUUCGUUCGGUUGAACGGUAUUCUCUUCACCCGCACUAUGUAUGUAUGUAUGUAUGUAUGUUCCUGUCUGAGAUGCUAUUGAUGAACUGAGUAAUGACACUAACUUGUUAUCAGCUUGGAUGGAGACUUGCUGUUGAUUUGUUAAGAAUGAUCUCUCUCUUGUGGGUCUGAUGAGAUGUAUAGUUUUGGUUCAGAUGCUGCCUGCCGACUCCAGACUGUUUGGCAACUAUUUAAUUAUAAUAUUCACCAUCCAUAAUGCAUGUGAUUAGGGAAAGUGAUAGUCAGUCGUAUGCUGGCUGAGAUUGAUUCUACAGAGAUCAGUUCUUCUACAGAAAAUACAUUUGUGAGAGAUGUAUCCAAUUAAAUGAAGAUGAUGAAGGUGAGAGUGGAUGAAUCGGCUUGCAUUGCCACAAGAUUUUUUGAAUUGUGAAGAUUUUGAACUUGGAGGAAUUGUUCUUCUAGCACAGCUUAUCCUCCAAUUCCUUGAAUUUAGGCCACCCCAAAAAGUGUUGCCUAAAAUGUCCUAGUGUACACUCCCUAGGAGUAGGUGGGCUUAUUGGAGGAGGUAGGUUUGCACUCAUAAAUUCAUGAUUCCUUAUGAAGAAAAAUUGGACCACACUUAAGGCUGAUGCAGAACAAGACUUUUGAAAUUGGGCUUUAUGUCUGUCAUCAAACAUUACCAAAUAUCAGUAAGAGUUAACAUUCCAGACAGAGACAAGUAGGACCACACUGAGCACUGUCAUUCUCUCACUUGGUAAAAAGAAAUUUAUCUAUACAAUUGACAAAUUCAAUUUGCCUAUGUGCUUUUGAAUUUCUUUUUCUAAUUGUAUUUGGUCUUUAACAGAAAUAAGUCAAUAAUGCUAAUUGUUUUUUUUUUUUUCCGCUUGUUUUAUUCAAGCUUUAUGUUUCUAAGGCCUUACUAUCCCA
Molecule: long non-coding RNA, 3032 nt
Filed under: Capsicum annuum
Lineage: Eukaryota; Viridiplantae; Streptophyta; Magnoliopsida; Solanales; Solanaceae
Description: long non-coding RNA (CANN_LNC003500)
Source: RNAcentral